GCACUUUUCCGCCGGAAGGGUAGAGGCUUUGCGAAGAGGAUCGGACCCGGAAGGUUGGCUCCCGUCCGUCGCGUAGAGUAAAUGAGCUCCCUGAAAAUACAAAGCACUUGUUUCCAUGUUCCGAUCAUUCAGAGAUUACGAAGGCACAGUGCCUGCCUUUGAUUGCUUGCGGUGAGGUGGAGCAGGCACAAGUCAAUGGUUACAGUAUAUCUACUUACGUAUUCUAAAAGAGAUUUAUCAGCAGGUUGCAGGUGAACAUGGCCUUGAGGUAAAUCCUGCCCCUUGUUGAAAUUUAGUUUCAGCAGAUUAUUCAUGGUAUUUUAAGGAAUUAGAAUAUUUCACAAAAAACAAAAGUUCUAUUUGGUUCUGUUCUAGACAUAUUUUCUUCUAAAUAAAUGAGAAAGAUGUUUCAACAAAA
Lemur catta (Ring-tailed lemur) is the source of this 418-nucleotide long non-coding RNA. RefSeq lists it as uncharacterized. The transcript is spliced from 3 exons. The record is from RefSeq and is a predicted model, not a curated record. Lineage: Eukaryota; Metazoa; Chordata; Mammalia; Primates; Lemuridae.